RNAcentral lists this non-coding RNA (152 nucleotides) under Pan troglodytes (chimpanzee). The record is from Rfam by way of RNAcentral. Lineage: Eukaryota; Metazoa; Chordata; Mammalia; Primates; Hominidae.
GCCGGGCAUGGUGGCGCAUGCCUGUAAUCCCAGCUACUCAGGAGGCUGAGGCAGGAGAAUCGCUUGAACCCGGGAGGCAGAGGUUGCAGUGAGCUGAGAUUGAUCGCACCACUGCAUUGCAGCCUGGGUGACAGAGCCAGACUCCGUCUCAA